Molecule: small nuclear RNA, 134 nt
Organism: Suricata suricatta (meerkat)
Lineage: Eukaryota; Metazoa; Chordata; Mammalia; Carnivora; Herpestidae
Gene: U4
Rfam family: U4 spliceosomal RNA
About the family: U4 small nuclear RNA (U4 snRNA) is a component of the major U2-dependent spliceosome.
Source: Ensembl
AGCUUUGUGCAGUGGCAGUAUUGUAGCCAAUGAGGUUUAUCCAAGGUGCAAUUAUUGCUAACUGAAAAAGUGAUAGCUUAAAAUUUAAAACCAAAAUACGUAGUUGAAAUUUACAUGGAAAAAUUGAGAUAAAU